Long non-coding RNA from Nanorana parkeri, 160 nucleotides. RefSeq lists it as uncharacterized. The transcript is spliced from 4 exons. NCBI's taxonomy places the organism in Eukaryota, Metazoa, Chordata, Amphibia, Anura, Dicroglossidae. The record is from RefSeq and is a predicted model, not a curated record.
UGUGUGUCCUCUGAUGGAUUUUCAGCGUCACCUUCUGUGCAAAACAUUUGCCGCAUUCUGAACAGGAAAAUGGCUUCUCCCCGGUGUGAAUUCUCAUGUGCUUGUCACAGUUUCCUUUAUUGGAGAAACACUUUCCACACUCGGAACAGGAAAAGGGCUU